GGGAGAGGAAGCUCUCUGGGACCCUAUGCUGGGCAUGGCACAUUUGUUGCAUUAUUUAACUUCACAACAUUGGAUGAGAUGAGGGUUCCAGGGGAAGACAUAGAGCCAAGGCAGCAAACAUGCCUGGAGCAUUGUUGUAGGCGUUUUCAUAUAUAUUAACCAACUUAAUCCUGUCAGUGGCCCUCAAGAUUAGGGCCAUUCUACAGAAAAGGAAACCGAGGCCCAGCGAGGUUAAGUAACUUACCCAAGAUUACCGUGGCUCGGGGUAGAGUCAGGACAGGACCCAGGCAUGUGUUUGCCUCCUUUGGCCUGUUUUCCCCACCCUGAGGCUGCUGUCAUCCAGCUCUGCUCACUGAAGGCUUUCUCCUGGGUGUAGCCAAGGCAGCUAUGAGCAGAGUGUGACCUGAGCCAGGCAACCCCAGCCCCUCCCUCAGGAGCAGUGUCCAUCCCUUGGGUAGCUCCGUUCAGUCCCCUCCACAGCCCCAUGCAGUGUGGUGCUUUAUGUUUUAUGGGUGGGUGCCGUGCUCAGAGUGGCCAUUCAGAGGUCUGAAUAGCACAAAGAUAUGGGGGCCCUCAGAUGUCCCCCUCCAGUGUGUACUCCCCACAAGCUCAGGCCACCAGCUCUGACUGGGGAGGAAGUCCUGGCCACCUACCCCCAUCCUGGGCCUGGCCUCCAGACCUAUACAUUUCAACCAGGAGUCUGGAGAUGAUCCCAGGUGUCAGGGAUGGCAUCAGUUGGCAGUACAUGGUUAGUCUUCUGCAUGGCCUUCAUUUAGAAUGUCUCUCUCAUCUUUUGGGUAAUAGUUUGGAAAGAGAGCCUAUUUUCUAAUUUAUUUAUUUAUUUUUUUGUGGUACUGGGAAUCAAACUCAGGACUUUUUUUUUUUUUUUGGUACCGAGGAUUGAACUUGGGUCAUUUGCACUUGCGAAGCAGGCGAUGAAACCACUGAGCUAAAUCCCCAGCCCAAACUCAGGACUUUUGAGGCAGGUGCAAUGCCACUGAGCUAAAUCCCCGGCCCAAUUUUAUUUUAUUUUUGAGACAGGGUCUCACUGUGUAGCCCAGGCUGGCCUCAUAUUUGAGGCAAUCCUCCUGCCUCAGCCUCCUCAGUGCUGGGAUUAUGGGCAUGCCCCACCACACCCGGCUUAAGCCUGUUUCAUGAUUAGGACAUCUGUCCUAGAUUUCUGGGACAGUUAGAAUGGUUGAGAGGGGAUGUGGAGCUAAGUGACCAGUUUGAUAAUAUUUAGUACAGUGGUAAUAAAUUACUUUUAUAGUAGUAAUAGAAGUAGCUAUUAUUUCUUUCUCAUCUUUUCUGUCUUUUCUUUUCUUUUGCAGUGCUGGGGAUUGAACCGACGGCCUCGUGCACACUAGGCAGGCUGUCUUAUUGAGCCAUAUCCCUAGCUCAGCAAUUGCUUCUUGAAAGCUUACUGUGUGCCAGGCAGUGUGCUGAUUCCAUUUAAUCCUCAACAAUAGUCUGAUGGGAUAAGCACCAUUCCCAUUUUACAGAUGAAGAAACUGAGGCUCAGAGAGAUUAAGCAGUUUGCCUAGGAUCAUGCAUUCCUUAGAAUAGCUGGGAGCCUCUGUUGCUUCACAGUGAGAACCCUGAGCACUGGGAUGCAUUGUAGACAGAGGAGAUCCAAACCCACUCUUACCCUGGGAAUUCCCAGUUGGGAUGACAGGUAGAUGAGAGGGCUACCUGGUCAGUUGACACUGUUGGUGACCAGCUGUGGAGCUGAAAGGUAUCCUGCUCAAAGACUGGACUAAUGACUGUUGAGUCCUGAGCCUACAGGGGUACAGCCUUACCACAGGUACCUCCUGGAUACCUGCGUUCUGCUCUUGUUCUUCCUGAGCUGGCUUUUGGUAAUAAAAUGGUUCUCCCAGGCCCCAUAUGCUGAUGAAGAGACAGGUCAGUUGAAGGGGCCCAAGUUUAUCCCUGAAUAAACCAGGAAUCAAAUCCACUUAAGGUGCCUGAGGUCUGCCAUAGCUAGGUGUCAGCAACUGAACAGACCUGGGACAGAUCUCCAGAGUUACGAGGCUGAGACGCCGACUCCACCUGUGGUCAGGUGUGUGGUGCUCAGGGGCAGAGAAUCCCCCUUGGAGAGAUAUGGCCAGAUUUCCUUCUUAUCAUUGUGCAGGGAAAAGGGAAAUGCCAAGGGUGGGACCUGUCCUGACCACUCCUCUGUCAUGUCCUAGGGCUGUGACUAAGGGCCACAUCUGAAAUCUUGGCUGCCCUGAGGCCCUGGGGGAAACUGCCCUGGUUGCACUUCCUUUGGCUAGGCCAGUGUGGGGUGGGUCAGCCCCCAGGACCAGGAGGAGUAGCAGGCCUGGGUCUCCUCAACUUCCCGGAUGCCCCAAGGACACUGCCCUGUGUCUGAGCAUCCCUGUUUUUUGUUUUUGUUUUUUGUUUUUUUUGGUACCAG
Molecule: long non-coding RNA, 2416 nt
Filed under: Heterocephalus glaber (naked mole-rat)
Lineage: Eukaryota; Metazoa; Chordata; Mammalia; Rodentia; Bathyergidae
Description: lncRNA (ENSHGLG00000032146.1)
Source: RNAcentral